UAAGACGGAGGGCGCAAGCGUUAUUCGGAAUUACUGGGCGUAAAGCGCGGGCAGGUCGUCCGUUAAGUCGGUUGUGAAAAUCCGGGGCUCAACCCCGUGAAAUGCAAACGAUACUGGCGGACUAGAGAUUGGUAGAGGCUAGCGGAAUUCCAGGUGUAGCGGUGGAAUGCGUAGAUAUCUGGAAGAACACCAGUGGCGAAGGCGGCUAGCUGGGCCAAGUCUGACACUCAUCCGCGAAAGCGUGGGGAGCAAACAGGAUUAGAUACCCUGGUAGUCCACGCCGUAAACGAUGGGCACUAGGUGCCGGGCCUCUAGACGGGUUCGGUGCCGACGCUAACGCAUUAAGUGCCCCGCCUGGGGAGUACGGUCGCAAGGCUG
Molecule: ribosomal RNA, 378 nt
Filed under: uncultured Gemmatimonadota bacterium
Lineage: Bacteria; Pseudomonadati; Gemmatimonadota
Description: bacterial SSU rRNA
Rfam family: Bacterial small subunit ribosomal RNA
Source: RNAcentral